UCUGAAUCUGCGAACGGCUCCGCAUACCAGUUGUUGACUAUUGCAGGAAAGCCUCGGGUGAAGGUGCUUCAUUGCGCCCGAUCCCUUGGCUGCCAUGGAUAAUCCCGGUAAUUCUGAGACUAAUACAAGAACGUAAAACCUGACUGACUGGGCAACUAGGACGUUGGGGGUUGUGCGAGGAUUAACGCCAACUCAACAUAGGGAUGAAUACGCGCACGAUCGUACCGCCACACCAAACGAUCUUGGUUCUACGCUUAGUAUCGCAAGAGAAACGCUAGUCCUCGUUCGGGCGGUACCAGUACUGUGCUUCUGACCUAUCAACUAGACUGCGAUUCCAUGGACUGCAAUGGU
Molecule: ribosomal RNA, 351 nt
Filed under: Physarum sp.
Lineage: Eukaryota; Evosea; Eumycetozoa; Physariida; Physaraceae
Description: bacterial SSU rRNA
Rfam family: Eukaryotic small subunit ribosomal RNA
Source: RNAcentral